GGAAAGGGGUCGGCAGGUGAAAAGGAGAGGUGCGGGUGAUGCGAACGCCGAAGAAGGCGCCGACGAGGAGACCUCUAUAGAGGGAGGACACGCGGCCGCCGAUCUAUCGGACAGCUCCAAUCGCCUCGUCGACGGGGCUUUGCCCACCACGGCCCUCACGUCCAAGAAAUCACGGGGUUAGCGUCACUUGAUGUGCCGCCUGCACAAACCUCCAAAGGAUCUAUCAGAACGGCUAUUCCUUCCCAAUUCUUUGCAGAAGGAUCUCAUUCAUGCAUACGAGUUUUACAAUGAGAAUCUUCUUCUAGACGAGAUGUCGAAUGGACAGCGAGUUCGACUGCUUGUUGCUGCCAAACCAAGAAUAAUGUCGUUGUUUCGUAAGUACUUGUAUCUUCCAUGUCCCCAUAUUUCGUGUUGAUGGCCUGUCGUCGUUCCUACAUAUUCAAAAAAUGUCUUUGUCGGAGCGGAUGCGCCAUUACUAUUUAUUCGUUGGCAGAUUAGUGUUGUGUUGGGUCCAGCCCAUAUGUGGGCUUGGAUAAAUUGGGCCUAUUGAACCCAAAUCACUAAUUAAGGUGAAGUAAGGCAAAUUAGGGUAUGCAGGGAAAAGAAAAACGCAGAGCAGCAUGCAGUGUACGUGCACAGUGAACAGCGACGGCAUGCAGAGAGAGAAAUAGAGAGAGAAAGUAAGGUUUCUGAGUUUUUCUGCUUGACGAUCGGUGGCCAAACGUUGUCAGUUUCGGCCCAAAUUUUAUGUGGAGAAUCCUUGCAGCAAACUCUACAAUCCUAACGGUGUUGAUCUGCAGUUUAUCCUCUCUAAGGUACUUUCCUGCGAUAUCCACUUUGUGAGACAUAGAAUUCUCUUUGGAGGAGAUCCACUUAUGUGAUGAAGAUAUGGUAUUCUUGAGCCAAGAUCUAUGUUCUUGAUGUUAUUCUGAUCCUCUAGUUAUUCUAGAGAAGACCUACUGUAAACCUGUUAUCAUCAUUAUUGAUAGUGGAAGUUUGAGAUGGACUACGGUCCCGUGGUUUUUCCCACAUUGGGUUUUCCACGUUAAA
This is a long non-coding RNA of Musa acuminata AAA Group (dessert banana), 1050 nucleotides long. RefSeq lists it as uncharacterized. Lineage: Eukaryota; Viridiplantae; Streptophyta; Magnoliopsida; Zingiberales; Musaceae. The transcript is spliced from 3 exons. The record is from RefSeq and is a predicted model, not a curated record.